UACGUAGGCGGAAAUCUAAGUCAGUGGUGAAAUCCCGCAGCUCAACUGUGGAACUGUCAUUGAUACUGGUUUUCUUGAAUAUAGUUGAGGUAGGCGGAAUGUGUAAUGUAGCGGUGAAAUGCUUAGAUAUUACACAGAACACCGAUUGCGAAAGCAGCUUACUAAACUAUGAUUGACGCUGAGGUACGAAAGCGUGGGGAGCGAACAGGAUUAGAUACCCUGGUAGUC
RNAcentral lists this ribosomal RNA (228 nucleotides) under uncultured bacterium. RNAcentral's name for it is "partial 16S ribosomal RNA". It matches the Rfam family "Bacterial small subunit ribosomal RNA", at positions 568 to 795 of the family's 1533-position model. The record is from RNAcentral.